GCGUGGUAGGAGAGCGUUCUGUAAGCCUGUGAAGGUGUCUUGUAAAGGAUGCUGGAGGUAUCAGAAGUGCGAAUGCUGACAUGAGUAGCGAUAAAGGGGGUGAAAGGCCCCCUCGCCGUAAGCCCAAGGUUUCCUACGCAACGUUCAUCGGCGUAGGGUGAGUCGGCCCCUAAGGCGAGGCAGAGAUGCGUAGCUGAUGGGAAGCAGGUUAAUAUUCCUGCACCGUCGUAUGAUGCGAUGGGGGGACGGAUCGCGGAAGGUUGUCCGGGUGUUGGAAGUCCCGGUCCCUGCAUUGGAGAAGGCGCUCAGGCAAAUCCGGGCGCGGGAUUCAAGGAUGCGGGGCGAGCGGCCUAGUGCUGCGAAGCAAUUGGAAGUGGUUCCAAGAAAAGCCUCUAAGCUUCAGUCAUACGAGACCGUACCGCAAACCGACACAGGUGGGCGAGAUGAGUAUUCUAAGGCGCUUGAGAGAACUCGGGAGAAGGAACUCGGCAAAUUGGUACCGUAACUUCGGGAUAAGGUACGCCCUGGUAGCUUGACUGGCCUGCGCCAGAAGGGUGAAGGGGUUGCAAUAAAAUGGUGGCUGCGACUGUUUAAUAAAAACACAGCACUCUGCAAACACGAAAGUGGACGUAUAGGGUGUGACGCCUGCCCGGUGCCGGAAGAUUAAAUGAUGGGGUGCAAGCUCUUGAUUGAAGUCCCGGUAAACGGCGGCCGUAACUAUAACGGUCCUAAGGUAGCGAAAUUCCUUGUCGGGUAAGUUCCGACCUGCACGAAUGGCGUAACGAUGGCCACACUGUCUCCUCCCGAGACUCAGCGAAGUUGAAGUGUUUGUGAUGAUGCAAUCUCCCCGCGGCUAGACGGAAAGACCCCAUGAACCUUUACUGUAGCUUUGCAUUGGACUUUGAACCGAUCUGUGUAGGAUAGGUGGGAGGCUUUGAAGCGUGGACGCUAGUUCACGUGGAGCCGUCCUUGAAAUACCACCCUGGUUUGUUUGAGGUUCUAACCUUGACCCGUGAAUCCGGGUCGGGGACAGUGCAUGGUAGGCAGUUUGACUGGGGCGGUCUCCUCCCAAAGUGUAACGGAGGAGUUCGAAGGUACGCUUGGUACGGUCGGACAUCGUACCUAAAGUGCAAUGGCAAAAGCGUGCUUAACUGCGAGACCGACAAGUCGAGCAGGUGCGAAAGCAGGACAUAGUGAUCCGGUGGUUCUGAAUGGAAGGGCCAUCGCUCAACGGAUAAAAGGUACUCUGGGGAUAACAGGCUGAUACCGCCCAAGAGUUCAUAUCGACGGCGGUGUUUGGCACCUCGAUGUCGGCUCAUCUCAUCCUGGGGCUGUAGCCGGUCCCAAGGGUAUGGCUGUUCGCCAUUUAAAGAGGUACGUGAGCUGGGUUUAAAACGUCGUGAGACAGUUUGGUCCCUAUCUGCCGUGGGCGUUGGAAUCUUGACGGGGGCUGCUCCUAGUACGAGAGGACCGGAGUGGACGUACCGCUGGUGUACCUGUUGUCUCGCCAGAGGCAUCGCAGGGUAGCUAUGUACGGAAGAGAUAACCGCUGAAAGCAUCUAAGCGGGAAACUCGCCUGAAGAUGAGGAUUCCCUGGCGGCUUGACCGCCUUGA
Molecule: ribosomal RNA, 1614 nt
Filed under: Cupriavidus necator NBRC 102504
Lineage: Bacteria; Pseudomonadati; Pseudomonadota; Betaproteobacteria; Burkholderiales; Burkholderiaceae
Description: bacterial LSU rRNA
Rfam family: Bacterial large subunit ribosomal RNA
Source: RNAcentral